This 305-nucleotide ribosomal RNA is filed under the name uncultured bacterium. RNAcentral's name for it is "bacterial SSU rRNA". It matches the Rfam family "Bacterial small subunit ribosomal RNA", at positions 336 to 639 of the family's 1533-position model. The record is from RNAcentral.
UUCCUACGGGGGGCAGCAGUGAGGAAUAUUGGUCAGUGGGCGGGAGCCUGAACCAGCCAAGCCGCGUGAAGGAAGAAGGCGCCAGGCGUCGUAAACUUCUUUUGUCGGGGAACAAAGGGCGCCACGCGUGGCGUUGUGAGUGUACCCGAAGAAAAAGCAUCGGCUAACUCCGUGCCAGCAGCCGCGGUAAUACGGAGGAUGCGAGCGUUAUCCGGAUUUAUUGGGUUUAAAGGGUGCGUAGGCGGUCCGUUAAGUCAGCGGUAAAAUUGCGGGGCUCAACCCCGUCGAGCCGUUGAAACUGGCAG